CUCUCUGGGUGGCGAGUGGCGGACGGGUGAGGAAUACAUCGGAAUCUACUUUUUCGUGGGGGAUAACGUAGGGAAACUUACGCUAAUACCGCAUACGACCUACGGGUGAAAGCAGGGGAUCUUCGGACCUUGCGCGAUUGAAUGAGCCGAUGUCGGAUUAGCUAGUUGGCGGGGUAAAGGCCCACCAAGGCGACGAUCCGUAGCUGGUCUGAGAGGAUGAUCAGCCACACUGGAACUGAGACACGGUCCAGACUCCUACGGGAGGCAGCAGUGGGGAAUAUUGGACAAUGGGCGCAAGCCUGAUCCAGCCAUACCGCGUGGGUGAAGAAGGCCUUCGGGUUGUAAAGCCCUUUUGUUGGGAAAGAAAUCCAGCUGGUUAAUACCCGGUUGGGAUGACGGUACCCAAAGAAUAAGCACCGGCUAACUUCGUGCCAGCAGCCGCGGUAAUACGAAGGGUGCAAGCGUUACUCGGAAUUACUGGGCGUAAAGCGUGCGUAGGU
This 500-nucleotide ribosomal RNA is filed under the name Stenotrophomonas sp. ZJ614. RNAcentral describes it as "bacterial SSU rRNA". It matches the Rfam family "Bacterial small subunit ribosomal RNA", at positions 80 to 576 of the family's 1533-position model. Lineage: Bacteria; Pseudomonadati; Pseudomonadota; Gammaproteobacteria; Lysobacterales; Lysobacteraceae. The record is from RNAcentral.